Molecule: small nuclear RNA, 105 nt
Organism: Nannospalax galili (Upper Galilee mountains blind mole rat)
Lineage: Eukaryota; Metazoa; Chordata; Mammalia; Rodentia; Spalacidae
Source: Ensembl
GUGUUUUCUUCAGUUUCACAUAAACUAGUUGAAACAAUGCAGGGAAGAUUAGUAUGGUCCCUGCACAAGGGUGACAGGCGGAAUUGUAAAAUGUUCCAUAUUUUG